AUUGAACGCUGGCGGCGUGCCUAAUACAUGCAAGUCGAGCGGACUUUCAAGAAGCUUGCUUUUUGAAAGUUAGCGGCGGACGGGUGAGUAACACGUGGGCAACCUGCCUGUAAGACGGGGAUAACUCCGGGAAACCGGGGCUAAUACCGGAUAAUAUCUUUCUUCGCAUGAAGGAAGGUUGAAAGGCGGCGCAAGCUGCCGCUUGCAGAUGGGCCCGCGGCGCAUUAGCUAGUUGGUGAGGUAACGGCUCACCAAGGCGACGAUGCGUAGCCGACCUGGGAGGGUGAUCGGCCACACUGGGACUGAGACACGGCCCAGACUCCUACGGGAGGCAGCAGUAGGGAAUCUUCCGCAAUGGACGAAAGUCUGACGUAGCAACGCCGCGUGAGCGAAGAAGGUCUUCGGAUCGUAAAGCUCUGUUGUCAGGGAAGAACAAGUACCGUUCGAAUAGGGCGGUACCUUGACGGUACCUGACCAGAAAGCCACGGCUAACUACGUGCCAGCCGCCGCCGUAA
This 515-nucleotide ribosomal RNA is filed under the name uncultured bacterium. RNAcentral's name for it is "partial 16S ribosomal RNA". It matches the Rfam family "Bacterial small subunit ribosomal RNA", at positions 30 to 523 of the family's 1533-position model. The record is from RNAcentral.